UACGUAGGUGGCAAGCGUUGUCCGGAGUUAUUGGGCGUAAAGCGCGCGCAGGCGGUGCGGUAAGUCUCUGGUGAAAGCGCUCGGCUUAACUGGGCGAGGGCCGGGGAGACUGCCACGCUGGAGGGGAGCAGAGGCGAGUGGAAUUCCGGGUGUAGUGGUGAAAUGCGUAGAGAGUCCGGAGGAACACCAGUGGCGAAGGCGGC
Molecule: ribosomal RNA, 203 nt
Filed under: uncultured bacterium
Lineage: Bacteria
Description: partial 16S ribosomal RNA
Rfam family: Bacterial small subunit ribosomal RNA
Source: RNAcentral